RNAcentral lists this ribosomal RNA (1863 nucleotides) under human gut metagenome. RNAcentral describes it as "bacterial LSU rRNA". It matches the Rfam family "Bacterial large subunit ribosomal RNA", at positions 92 to 1984 of the family's 2925-position model. The record is from RNAcentral.
GCAACCUUUGACCCGUAGAUUUCCGAAUGGGGGAACCCGGCAGUGGUUAUGCACUGUCACCCAUAGCUUAGACUAUGAGGAGGGCACCUGGGGAACUGAAACAUCUAAUUACCCAGAGGAACAGUAAUCAAACGAGAUUUUCUUAGUAGCGGCGAGCGAACGGGAAAGAGGCCAAACCGGAACGGGCAACCGCACCGGGGUUGAGGACAGUCAUCAAGUGUAAAUGAGGUAGAAGAAUCGAGCUGGAAAGCUCAGCCGAAGAAGGUGAAAGCCCUGUAAUCGAAACCUUGCAUACAUGGGACUGUAUCCAGAGUACCACGAGACACGUGAAACCUUGUGGGAAGCAGGGGGGACCACCCUCCAAGCCAAAAUACUGAUAUCGACCGAUAGCGCAUAGUACCGUGAGGGAAAGGUGAAAAGAACCCCGGGAGGGGAGUGAAAUAGAACCUGAAACCCUGCACUUACAAGCUGUGGGAGCACAUUACUUGUGUGACCGCGUACUUUUUGUAGAACGGGCCAACGAGUUACGUUAAGUAGCAAGGUUAAGCACUUAAGGUGUGGAGCCGUAGCGAAAGCGAGUCUUAAAUGGGCGAUUAAGUUACUUGGCGUAGACCCGAAACCGGGCGACCUAUCCAUGAGCAGGUUGAAGCGAAAGUAAAAUUUCGUGGAGGACCGAACCCACGAGCGUUGAAAAGCUCGGGGAUGACUUGUGGAUAGCGGUGAAAUUCCAAUCGAGCCCGGAGAUAGCUGGUUCUCCCCGAAAUAGCUUUAGGGCUAGCCUCAAGCGUAGAGAAACGGAGGUAGAGCACUGAAUGUCCUAGGGGGUAUUGCACUUACCGAAGACUAUCAAACUCCGAAUGCCGUUUUCUUUUACUUGGGAGUCAGACUGUGGGUGAUAAGAUUCAUAGUCAAAAGGGCAACAGCCCAGAUCGUCAGCUAAGGUCCCUAAAUGUACGUUAAGUGGUAAAGGAUGUGGGAUUGCACAGACAACCAGGAUGUUGGCUUAGAAGCAGCCACUCAUUUAAAGAGUGCGUAAUAGCUCACUGGUCGAGUGAUCCUGCGCCGAAAAUUUCCGGGGCUAAAACGUACUACCGAAGCUACGGCAUCAUUUAUGAUGGGUAGGGGAGCUUCGUAUGCAGGCUGAAGCAUGACCGUAAGGACAUGUGGACAGUAUACGAGUGAGAAUGUUGGCAUGAGUAGCGAGACGUGGGUGAGAAUCCCACGGGCCGUAAACCCAAGGUUUCCAGGGGAAGGUUCGUCCGCCCUGGGUUAGUCGGGACCUAAGCCGAGGCCGAAAGGCGUAGGUGAUGGACAACAGGUUGAUAUUCCUGUACCGCCAAUAAGCGUUUGAGAGAUGGAGUGACACAGUAGGAUAAGCUAACCGUACUGUUGGUUAUGUACGGCUAAGCAUUGAGGCAGUCUAAAUAGGCAAAUCCGUUUAGACAAUGCUAGGAUGUGAUGGGGAAGCCCUUCGGGGCGAAGUAGCUGAUUUCACACUGUCAAGAAAAGCUUCUAUCGAGUUUAAAGGCGCCCGUACCGUAAACCGACACAGGUGGGUGAGGAGAGUAUCCUAAGGCCAGCGAGAGAACUAUUGUUAAGGAACUCGGCAAAAUGACCCCGUAACUUAGGGAGAAGGGGUGCCUGUCUAUGACAGGCCGCAGAGAAUAGGCCCAAGCGACUGUUUACCAAAAACACAGGUUUCUGCUAAGUCGCAAGACGAUGUAUAGGAGCUGACGCCUGCCCGGUGCUGGAAGGUUAAGGGGAUCUGUUAGAGCAAUCGAAGCAGUGAACUUAAGCCCCAGUAAACGGCGGCCGUAACUAUAACGGUCCUAAGGUAGCGAAAUUCCUUGUCGGGUAAGUUCC